AGCUUGCUCUUAUGGGUGGCGAGUGGCGGACGGGUGAGGAAUACAUCGGAAUCUACCUUUUCGUGGGGGAUAACGUAGGGAAACUUACGCUAAUACCGCAUACGACCUUCGGGUGAAAGCAGGGGACCUUCGGGCCUUGCGCGGAUAGAUGAGCCGAUGUCGGAUUAGCUAGUUGGCGGGGUAAAGGCCCACCAAGGCGACGAUCCGUAGCUGGUCUGAGAGGAUGAUCAGCCACACUGGAACUGAGACACGGUCCAGACUCCUACGGGAGGCAGCAGUGGGGAAUAUUGGACAAUGGGCGCAAGCCUGAUCCAGCCAUACCGCGUGGGUGAAGAAGGCCUUCGGGUUGUAAAGCCCUUUUGUUGGGAAAGAAAAGCAGUCGGCUAAUACCCGGUUGUUCUGACGGUUCCCAUUUAAUAAGCACCGGCUAACUCCCCCGCCCGCAGCCGCGGUAAUACGAAGGGAGCAAGCGUUACUCGGAAUUACUGGGCGUAAAGCGUGCGUAGGUGGUUGUUUAAGUCUGUUGUGAAAGCCCUGGGCUCAACCUGGGAAUUGCAGUGGAUACUGGGCGACUAGAGUGUGGUAGAGGGUAGUGGAAUUCCCGGUGUAGCAGUGAAAUGCGUAGAGAUCGGGAGGAACAUCCAUGGCGA
RNAcentral lists this ribosomal RNA (650 nucleotides) under uncultured bacterium. RNAcentral describes it as "bacterial SSU rRNA". It matches the Rfam family "Bacterial small subunit ribosomal RNA", at positions 77 to 718 of the family's 1533-position model. The record is from RNAcentral.